GGGAUGCUGGUAAAGUGGAGAAUUAGUCAAGUAAAGACACGUGAGGUGUGGAAUUAUGCAAUUUCUCAUUCUUGGGCGGGGUGUGUACCUUGGCUCUUACACUGCAGAGUUCACAACUCAAGAGUAGAGCUCCUGAUAUCAGAUUUUUACAAAACGAUUGUCAGAUUUCCUUGGUUUCUAUGCCUUUCGUCAGUGAGGUGUCAAUGGCUACCUAUGCUCUGGUUACUAUGGUUGCAUAACAGUUACCCACUCCCCGUCCGCCAACCCUAAAAAAGCCAUGUAUUAAGCUCAUAGAUUCUGUGGGGCAGGAAGUUGAUCUGGGCAGAGGAAUUCCAUGGAGCUGGCUUGUCUCUGCCCCACAGUGUCUGGGACCUCAGCUGUAAGCCCUGAAUACCGCGGGCUAGAAUCUUCUGAAGGUUUGCCCAUUCACAUGUCUGGUGGUAGAUGCUGGCUGUUGACCGAGGGCAUCGGCCCCUCCCCAUGUGGCCUCCGCGCUUGGACUGGUUUGGACUUCAUCGCUGCAUGGUGGCUGGAUUCCGAAAAUGUUGACACUGCCAUCUUUUCUAACUUCCGCUGCUUCUCCAGGCGGCCAUGGCCAUCUCAUUAGACAGCAGAUGUAAAGUAUUUGGAAAAAGGCAUCAUGCAAAGGUAAAGUUCAUUGUCAUUCAUCGUUUUCCUUCCCAAAUAACUAGACUUCUUAAAAACAGUAAAGCAAAAUGAAGCUGAGCUGUUUGCUUGUCUACCCUGACA
RNAcentral lists this long non-coding RNA (750 nucleotides) under Callithrix jacchus (white-tufted-ear marmoset). RNAcentral's name for it is "lncRNA (ENSCJAG00000085364.1)". Lineage: Eukaryota; Metazoa; Chordata; Mammalia; Primates; Cebidae. The record is from RNAcentral.